GGGGAAUUUUGGACAAUGGGCGCAAGCCUGAUCCAGCAAUGCCGCGUGCAGGAUGAAGGCCUUCGGGUUGUAAACUGCUUUUGUACGGAACGAAAAGCCUCUCUCUAAUACAGGGGGGUGAUGACGGUACCGUAAGAAUAAGCACCGGCUAACUACGUGCCAGCAGCCGCGGUAAUACGUAGGGUGCAAGCGUUAAUCGGAAUUACUGGGCGUAAAGCGUGCGCAGGCGGUUUUGUAAGACAGUGGUGAAAUCUUCGAGCUUAACUCGGAAACUGCCAUUGAUACUAUUAGUCUUGAAUAUUGUGGAGGUUAGCGGAAUAUGUCAUGUAGCGGUGAAAUGCUUAGAUAUGACAUAGAACACCAAUUGCGAAGGCAGCUGGCUACACAUAUAUUGACACUGAGGCACGAAAGCGUGGGGAUCAAACA
RNAcentral lists this ribosomal RNA (426 nucleotides) under uncultured bacterium. Its description in RNAcentral is "bacterial SSU rRNA". It matches the Rfam family "Bacterial small subunit ribosomal RNA", at positions 356 to 774 of the family's 1533-position model. The record is from RNAcentral.